CGGUGCGCCUAACACAUGCAAGUCGAGCGAGAAGUCUGGUGCUUGCGCCAGAUAGAAAGCGGCGAACGGGUGAGUAACACGUUGGUAUCUGCCCCCAAGUCAGGGAUAGCCAUUGGAAACGAUGAUUAAUACCGGAUAGUCUCUACGGAGUAAAAAUUUAUUGCUUGGGGAGGAACCUGCGGUCUAUCAGCUAGUUGGUAAGGUAAAAGCUUACCAAGGCAAUGACGGAUACCUGGUCUGAGAGGAUGAUC
RNAcentral lists this ribosomal RNA (251 nucleotides) under uncultured bacterium. Its description in RNAcentral is "partial 16S ribosomal RNA". It matches the Rfam family "Bacterial small subunit ribosomal RNA", at positions 40 to 305 of the family's 1533-position model. The record is from RNAcentral.